AUGCUCUCCAGGACCAUCCAUGCUGUUGUGAAUGUUCUGGAGACUGGCAAGUUCAAGAUCAACGUGCUGGCAGACUUGGUGCCUAUGAGGACCCUCUUCUGGUUUUCAGGUAGACUUAUUGCUGUAUUCCCACGUGGUGGAGAAAGAGGGGACUCUGGUCUUUCUCUUAUAAGAGCACUAUUCUCAUCAUAGGGGAUCCAACCUCAUUGACCUCAUCUAAACCUAAUUACCUCCCAAAGGCCGCACCUCCGAAUUCCAUCACGUUGGGGAUUUGUGCUUCAACAUUUGAAACUUAAUUAGGUCCCUGAAGCAGCCACCUCGGAAGUUUCCCUGUGUCACUCUGCUCUGUGUCAUAGCACAACUUGAAUCCAUGGUUCCUACUGCUCCUCCACGCACCUUUGUACUAAGAAUGCUGAGGGUUAAUUGCCUGAAGGGAGAGCUUCUCAUUGCCCAAAACAAGUCAAAUGAAUUCUGUUGGCAUUAAAGAUUUGCCUUUGAUGUUGUGCUUGGCCACUAAGUCUCUUCUCACUUUAAAAACAAGGUUCAUGAAAAAGAUGCUGUUUUCAUGAAGCUCUAGCCUUUCAAGUCAACUUCAGUGCUCACCCUGUUCUUUUCUUCUCUGCAAAGCCACGUGUUUUUUUUUUUAAAUUUAGCAUAGAAUGGGACAGAAGCAUGUCUCCAAAGAGCCAGCACCUAGUUUCCCGUCUGCAGAAAAUAGAUGCCACCUGACAGCAACUGCAGCGACUAUUGGCCAAGAUGUGAGAUGGUUAUUUCCUCGCGAUGAAGCAACUCCAGUUGAAGGAGUUGUUAUGGUGCAGAGAAUUUACAAGAAUUUCUCAUGAACUUGCUCUAGCCACACAGCUAUUCAAAAAGGGAAUAUCCACCAACCACGCUGCCUGGAAUCUACUGGAGAGGAAACUUUAUUUAAUGUAAUGUUGACUUAGGUGGAAUCAGACAGAGCUGGAAUUUGUAUUAGUCAAAUUUAUUGCAAUAAAUCUACCCUCACUUCAUUUCUUUGGAGUAGUUGAACCUGGACCUUAGAGCAAAGAGGACAAAGGCCAUCACAUAGCUAUGCGCCCAUGAUUGAGGCCACUUAAUCCAUUCUGACGCGUGUUCUGUAGAAUAUUCAUUAGGAGUUGUCCAGGCAGCCAUAGGCCAACAGUUAGCCAGACAGUAUUUUUAUUGCUGAAGCACCCCAGGGUUCUGAAUUGAAGUGUAGGAAAUGUUAUUUGUAGUUGGAAUUCCAAGUACUCUCCCAGGAGUGUUGAUUUUUUUAUAAUCUUUAUUUCUGCACCCAAACACUGGAGGUCACUAUUUAUUCAUAAAUGCCCCUGGAUUUGACUGCAAACUUAUGUCUAUGUACAAAAGGUCAUAUCUAAAAGGGCCUGGAAUUGAUCGUGGGAUUUUUUCCUUUAAUUAUGUAACAGAGAUCAGCUUAUAUAAACAUAAAAUAUAAAUAUAAAUUAUCAUGAUCCCCAUGGGAUUGUAACCUAGGAAUAAAGCAGAUAGUAUUAAAUCUAAAAUAUAAACUAA
This is a long non-coding RNA of Myotis davidii, 1533 nucleotides long. RefSeq lists it as uncharacterized. The transcript is spliced from 3 exons. Lineage: Eukaryota; Metazoa; Chordata; Mammalia; Chiroptera; Vespertilionidae. The record is from RefSeq and is a predicted model, not a curated record.